GCGUCCUUGGUGUAGCAGUUACACGCAUCCUAUUUGUUCUCCAACCACCUGUAGCCUUUAGGAUGAGUCCGGGGUUCGACUCCCCGAGGACGCA
Mycena galopus ATCC 62051 is the source of this 94-nucleotide non-coding RNA. NCBI's taxonomy places the organism in Eukaryota, Fungi, Basidiomycota, Agaricomycetes, Agaricales, Mycenaceae. The record is from the annotation of a GenBank genome assembly.